Molecule: ribosomal RNA, 447 nt
Filed under: uncultured bacterium
Lineage: Bacteria
Description: partial 16S ribosomal RNA
Rfam family: Bacterial small subunit ribosomal RNA
Source: RNAcentral
AACGAACGCUGGCGGCAGGCUUAACACAUGCAAGUCGAACGCUCCGCAAGGAGAGUGGCAGACGGGUGAGUAACACGUGGGAACGUACCCUUUACUACGGAACAACUCCGGGAAACUGGAGCUAAUACCGUAUGUGCCCUUUGGGGGAAAGAUUUAUCGGUAAAGGAUCGGCCCGCGUUGGAUUAGCUAGUUGGUGGGGUAAAGGCCUACCAAGGCGACGAUCCAUAGCUGGUCUGAGAGGAUGAUCAGCCACAUUGGGACUGAGACACGGCCCAAACUCCUACGGGAGGCAGCAGUGGGGAAUAUUGGACAAUGGGCGCAAGCCUGAUCCAGCCAUGCCGCGUGUGUGAUGAAGGCCUUAGGGUUGUAAAGCACUUUCACCGGAGAAGAUAAUGACGGUAUCCGGAGAAGAAGCCCCGGCUAACUUCGUGCCAGCAGCCGCCGCGG